UGAGCCUCAAAGCUUGGAUCCAAUGGGCCUACAAAUCAAAUUCGAUCCGACACUAAAUUACGACCCACUGGACCAAAGUAGGGUCCGAAAGGGCAAUUCGGUCAAUCGAUCCCUCAUUCCCACCAAAUAUAAUUGCUCGGGUUCACGUCACUCGUCCUUUCUUAAGCCCUAGAAACCCUAGCUCUCUCGGAGGCGCCUCUGCUGAUACCGCGCAUCUCUUCUGGUACGUGAUUUUUCAGUCCAAAACUUCAUAAUUUCCAUCAAUUGUCUGAUAUUGUUUCGAUUAGGGUUUGCUUUCAGUCUUUAUUUGUUAGAGUUUCGUCCUUUUUAAUUAUUUUUUGAGGUUGAUUUGGGCAUCUGGAUCUCUUGGAUCUUGAUUUUGUUAAUUUGAUUUGGAAUACGUUUUGUUUUGGUGUGCUUGGAUUGAAAUGCUGUUAUUUUUGUGCUUAAGUAGGUCAAAUGUUUGUUUUUUACUUGAUUAUGGUGGGAAUAAAUGAUUCUGGAAUUGGGUUUUUAUAAAUUAGGGGCUUUGAACAAGUGUGAUAAUUGUGGAAUCUAGAUUGAUAUGUUUGACUGAGCUAGAAAUGGGGAAAGGGAUCGAACUACCGUUACUGGUUUUCAUUUUGCUUUUUUAACACAUUGCUUAAGAGUGUAAGAUUUGACAAGUGAAUAGCUUUUGUAUUAUGUUUUUGUUUGGUGGUUUUGUACUUGUUGACUUGCGUGCAAUAGCUCCGAUGAACUUAUAUUGGAUUAUCUUUUCUGAAAUGCAAAAGCGACAAUGAGAGUUAGCGUUCUGAAUGAUGCUCUUAAGAGCAUGUACAAUGCUGAGAAAAGGGGCAAGCGCCAGGUCAUGAUCAGACCAUCGUCCAAGGUCAUUGUCAAGUUUCUUUUGGUGAUGCAAAAGCACGGUAUGCAUCCAUCAGUUAAAGCUAUACAUCAUUUUCGUUAUUUCAAAGUUUCUAUGUGAGUUGUUAUUUUUCUGGGUGUAUGGAUAGUAAUAUUUUUGGUUUUGCUAUGUAGGAUACAUUGGCGAGUUUGAGUAUGUUGAUGAUCACAGGGCUGGUAAAAUUGUGGUCGAGCUGAAUGGAAGGCUUAACAAGUGUGGGGUUAUCAGCCCUCGUUUUGAUGUCGGCGUUAAGGAGAUUGAGGGAUGGACUGCAAGGUUGCUUCCCUCUAGACAGGUUAGCCCAUUUUUAUCAGUUAGCUAUUUCAAGCCUAGAAACAGGACAUAUGUCUUAGUCGAUUCUUUUGAGGAAACGUAUAUAGUUUGGAUUUGUAACUCAUCUAUUUUUGAGCAAAACAAAAUUGUAAAAAAAUGUUAUUGGCAAGAUUAUAUAUUAUUGAUCAUGUCAAUGGUGAUUGGUCUAGCUUUUCACCUGGCUCCUGUUUGAGCUUUCCUGUAAUGUGCUUCAUGUAUCAUAUCAGAUCUUUUGUGUCAGAUGAACUUUGAAUUCUCGUUUUUUCUGCUUGAUCGAAUGUUAUGCAUUGUGUUGUAUUUCUUAUCCACUUAAGCUUACGGAUGUUUGGUUGAAGUUGCAGUUUGGAUACAUUGUGCUGACAACAUCUGCUGGCAUUAUGGACCACGAGGAGGCUAGAAGAAAGAAUGUCGGUGGUAAAGUGCUUGGUUUCUUUUACUAGGCAAAGCUUCAACGAAUGAGAAUCGAGUUUUCCUGUUUCUGAGAGGAGCUUUGGGGUGUACUUUUGAACAUCUUAGGAUACGUCUAUGUUUCAAUUUGUGUUUGUUUUGGAUGCUGAUAGAGAUUACUGAAACGUUAUUUGCUUUACUUUUAUCUUAUGGAAUCCAAAUUUUGGCUUCAAGCAAGUAAUGCUUUUGCUUUGUAUGUUUUUCUUUGAAUAACGAAUGGAUGAAGGUUGGUUGUUAUGAAAGAUGCUGUGUUAGCUUUUUAAUGCUAUAUGCUCGGCAUCGUUCUGAAAAUGGACUUGAGCUUGCAUAUUGUACUCUUUCAAAUUAAUAUCCAUCUGUUGGUCGGUAAUCUGCGACUUAAGUUACUUGAGGAGAAAGGAAGAUUAGUUAUUAAACCGCGGGUGUUCUUCACUUGUAAGUGAGAAGUCGUAGUUUCAAUUCUCACUUUGUAAGUGAGAAGUCUUAGUUUCGAUUCUCGCUAAAAGCGAGUUUGAACAACAUUAUUGCUAGCCUUUUUUUGUUAAUGUAGAUAACAUCGUUUGUUAAAAAAAAAAACGAUCUUGUUUGAUCGUAAGCCCUCCAUUCCUCUCAAAAUUAAGGAAAUGGAUUGGUAUUGGGCAAUAACAGUAAAUUCGAACUAAAUGGAUAGUUUUGAAAACGACAGAAUUAUGGGUCUUAAAACGGUGAAGAGUACAAACAAGUCUGAAGUGGUUGAGGGGAUCAUGUUCCAAUUUUUCUUCAAGUUAUUGAUUAAAAGAUAGAGAAUCAUCAAAACCAUACAAAAUGGACUCCUAAGUGCUUUAAUGGUCCACGUGGAUCUACAAAAUCCCACAAUAAAACUCAUGCAUGGUUAAUGCGCGGAACUGUUACUAGCACUUUAAAAUAUUAUGCUCUUCGUUUUAUUUUUUAUUUUUCAUACAUCGGUGAAGUGCAGAAUGACUUCGAGAAUAUCCUAUAAACUAUUGUACGUUUAGAUUACCGAGAUAAAAAAAAAGAAAAGAAAAAUGUGAUGUUUGAGAACAAGAGACUACAUAAACCAGCAGGGAUUUUAUUAAUGCCAAUACUGGAGGACUGUCCCCCCUUGACCUAGCAGUAGUGGAACUGGUGGUGGCAUAAGUAGUACUGGUUUUUGAAGCAUGAUAUUAAAGUUAACAACAACACGAUUAGCAUGGCCCCUGAGGAAGGAUGACACGCUUAAAUCGGAAAACAACACAAAGAUAAAAGAUUGCGGAUACUGCCAAAGAUCUGUAGUUGCCCUAGCUACCAUCAAAGCCAACCAACAUGACUUCCAAAUUUCAAUUAGCUUUUUCGUCGUCGCUUGCGUCAUCUUCGUUGGUAGUAGCAACAACAUGGUGACCACCAACUUGACCACCACCAAUGGUAUCUCCGCCGCCACUCCCGACUUCCAUUGGCAACGAGGCGCCGAGGACGAAGAAGUUGGAGAAGCAAGAAGGUAGAUGAUGAUGGUGUUCAAGAGCUUUUCAUGUUGGAAGGGUGAUAAAACAUGGGCGCGUUAUGACGUUUUGUAGGUGAAGGGAAGGUGCGGGUAGAGUAUCUUCUCAGGAUAUACUCCGAGCACAACUUUUUGUGUUCCUUCCCAUUCACCUUUUCUCUCACUUCCCAAUUAUUUUUUCUUUUUUUUUUUUGGGUGGGCUUUCAAAUAUUCUAAAUUGAACUUUUAGACCAUGUCUAUUGGGGUGUCUAAGGGUCAUGGGUUAAAGACGAAAUCUAGCCUUCAAAUCUUUGUUGUUGUUCUAAUGGUGUACGAGGUUAGAGGCUAAAAAGUGUUAUUGAUUAGUUUUACAGGCUAUAAUUUUUUUCCUAAACUGGCCUUGUGAAGCGCUUCGGGUAAGAGCUGGCGCUUAAACUGUCUUCGUCAAGAGUUCUAGACGAUUUCAGCUUAAGUCAGAUACAUCUCAUUAAAUAUUAAUUUUUAUCAUUUGAUACGAUAAAUAUCACUUUUGCCUACGUUAGUUCGUGGAAAGCUAAACCUCUCGUUAUAUAAUACUUCAAAUAUUUGCAAUCACACACUUGCAAAAGUGUGUAAAACUUCUUUUAACUUAUUCUUAUCGGAUCAUAAAAUUAUCUUCUUUAAAUUUGAGAGUUAACAAGCACCAUUUGAGAGUAAAGUAAUAAAUUAUUAAAUUGCCUAGGUGUGUGAGUAUUUGGGCUUAUAAAGGUGUUAUGACCCAAAAUAACUUGGGCCUUAGGGGCCUAAUACGAAACAUACAGGACCUCAAAAAUUCAAAAGUUUGCCAAAAUCAUUUUCUUUUUGUUGGAUUAAAUUAUCAAUUAAAAAAUCUCGAACCGGAUGACAAUCCAUUAUCUUAAGGGAAAUGCUAAGAAGAUCAAAUUUAUAAACUAAAUUUACAAACCAAAUGUGUCACAAAUAGAAAAUAAGUACGUUAAUUAACACUUGUAAUAAUCCAAUCAUUAAAAUCCGCAUCAUUUCAUCCAAAUUGGCAUAGAUAUAUGUGUGUUAUCUUUUCACUCUGACUCUAAUUAGUGUUUUGUUCUCUUACCAAUUGUUGUAUUCUAUUACGUGUGGGUAACCUCAUUUUUUAAUUUUAGUGAUCAUCCAAUUUCGAAAGAUAAAUUGGAACACAAUUUUUGCUCCGUAUGGAAGACGAUAGGUAUUUUAUGCAUUCGUACUUAUCAGUCUCUGCAAUCACCAAAAGGAUAAAGUUGAGAUAUCAAGGAGAGUUCUGCUAGAACAUGAACACGAUGCAUUUGCUAUUAAUGGAAAGUUAACGUAAUGUUUAAUUUUGAGUGUAAUUUCUAACGGGCUUCGAGUUUCAAUUCUAAUUUUCUUAUCACAAAAAUUAUCUUUUGAAUAUCCUCUCACAAUGUUACUAUCCGAUUCAGCCUUUAGAAUUUUUAUUUGGUGGUACGCCAAUAAGGAAAUGAAUCAUUUCCGGAUUCAUUCAUUCUAAUUCUAGAAACCCAUCAAUCUGGAUUUUUGAAAUUUGAUUGAACGGCUACAAAUAGAGGCUCACUUUAAAAUUAUAAUAACUUUAACCGUUGAAUCAAAAUUCAAUGGUCUGAAUUGGUAGAUCCCUAAAAUUAGAAGGAAGAGAUCCGGAGAUGAUCUAUUUUUUGCAAUUUUAGAUUUUUUCCUCGCAAAAGAAAAACCGGGAAAAUAUUAAGUGAAGGCGGGUGUACGGAGAUGCAGUGCGGUCCCAUACAGUGGCGAGUCACCCGCGUAUUAUACAGGGACAGCCCUAGAAAUCAAAUUUCUGAAACCCGACGUCGUCCUCCCAGAUAUUGGAUCGUUGUCGCGUCUCCGACGACCGCCCGCUUUAAGCUUCUUCGAAAGGUUUAUCUCCUCUCUCUCUCUCUCCUCUGCGAUCUCCUGCAGUUCCUUAGAUUUUGUUUUUUGUUGAUUUUUUGGUUGUGAAAUUUGGGUUGCAGAGAGUGGUUUGGAUUUGGAAUUAGGGGUCGGUGUUAGAAUCGAUCAAUCCAUGGCGACUGCGCAACCGGCAAGGGGUCGGACCGAUUACGAUUAUCUCAUCAAGCUUCUCCUCAUUGGGGACAGUGGUUAGUCAUCGUUUUUGUUUGGUUCCCGAGAAAAUUAUGGAAUUUGCGAAUUGGAAUUUGAACUUUUUGAGAUCUAAAGUGGUUUUGCUUUACUUUGGUAUUUCUGGUGGGCAAUGUACUUCAAACGAAAAUAAAAAAAAAAGUCAUUUUUGGAAGUAUUUUCUGUUGCAUAAUAGUGGGUGUAGGGUGAUAUUUAGUUGUGUCAAGUUUGAAAUUUUGAAUGCUUGCAAUUUUUGAUAAAUUUAGUGUUUGAGGGACCUGUAUGUGCGUGUAAUUAGAUGGUUUUGUAUGAAAGAUCCAGUUUUGGGUUUGAUGAAGACUAAGAGAGUGAGUAUAAUCAUAUUUCAACGAAACUUUUUUAGGUAUCGAAAUGAAAACAGAAUGCGAGAGUAAUAUCCGACUCUAAUCUGACUCGGUAUGAAUUACAAGGUGAGUGCGAGUACGAACAAUGACCAUAUGGCAUUGUACUGUCUUUCGGGGGUUGAAGAGCAUUUUAACCUCUUGUUAAGACUUGAUGUGAAUUACUGCAUAAAGGUUAAAUAAGAGCUCUGCUGGGGAUCAUGGUUUUGGCUUCAGUUGGGAUUAUUGCUUUUAAAGUUGCUUUGAGACGCAAAGAAGGAUUUGAUUUGUUUGGAUGGUGUCCUGGAUCUUGUGUAUUAAAAAAAAGGAUGUAAAUUGGCCUUUAUUUGGGAGAUAUUUUUAGUUUCGGCUAUAAACUUCUUGGUUCUAAAAUAUAAAAACAUUUCUGCUGUAAUUUCAGGUGUUGGCAAGAGUUGUCUGCUUUUGCGUUUCUCUGACGGCUCCUUCACAACAAGUUUUAUCACCACUAUUGGGUUUGUAUCCGUAAAAUCUGUUUCAAUUUUUGUAUCUGGAAACUUUAGCAAGUGAACAAGUUUUAUGAACCAAAAUAUUAAGUCAGUUAGGACAUGGUCAUUAGCUACUGCUUAAAGCUUCUGUAGAAAUAUGUCAUAAGGAACUAUUACGUUGUGUUUUAUUGAUGAAGAUUCAUCUUUGUUUAGCAUCUCUUAGAUAGUCCUUUGUUGACAGGAUUGAUUUCAAGAUAAGAACAAUCGAGCUUGAUGGCAAACGGAUUAAAUUGCAAAUCUGGGAUACAGCUGGUCAAGAACGAUUUCGAACAAUUACAACAGGUUUGUGUUUGAGAUUUUACAGAUAGAUAAUUUUAAAUUGGAAAAUAGACAGUUGCUGCUGACAAUAGAAGAGCAGGGGGCAGGGGGUUCCUUUCUUAGAGAUGAUUUUUACCUUUUUUUUUAAUUGUGUCCUCCUUUAUUGUUCUUCAGGAGUUUCCUUACAUAUUUAUGUUAUGCUCUGCAGCUUACUAUCGAGGAGCCAUGGGUAUUUUGUUGGUGUAUGAUGUUACCGAUGAGUCAUCUUUCAACAGUAACUUCUCGUUUUUCCUUUACCCUCAGUAUAUGAAUUUUUGAUAGCAUGCUGAUUUUAUGUUCAUUUUGCUUAUCUAUUUAUGUUAUAAUAAUCCAAAUUCUAACAAAUUGGGAUGUAGAGUUGUAGACAUUUCAACCUUGUGGUUCAUUUUGGGUGUGCUUAAACUGGUGUAGUUCUUUUCAGUUUGACCGUUAAUUCAUUGAGGUGGUGGAUGAUUAAAACCAUCAGAGGCACUUCUUCCAUCUCUGUAUAAAUUUUAUAGUUCAAUCUAGCACUUCUUUGGGUAAUUGUCUAUUCAUGUGCAGACAUUAGAAACUGGAUUCGCAACAUUGAGCAGCAUGCUUCUGUCAAUGUCAACAAGAUUCUGGUGGGAAACAAAGCUGAUAUGGAUGAAAGCAGAAGGGUGUGUAAUUUGUAUUUUUUCACUUGCAGGAAAUGCUCUUUUUUUUUUAAGCCGGUGAAAGAAUUAGAAGGGAUGGCUGUGAUGAGUUUAGAAUCCUAUUGGGUUUACAUGAGGAUGCUAGAAUUGCGUGCUCUAUCCCUAUCCAUCUAUUUUUGCAUGUGUUUGUGUGUGCGGGCAUGCCCAAGCUUUAAUUAUCUAUAUUCUUAGGCUGUGCCGACUUCUAGGGGUCAAGCUCUUGCUGAUGAGUAUGGUAUCAAGUUCUGAAACUGUAAGUAGUAAUAUGCCUUCGGUAUUUUGACUACAUAAUCAAUUCCGUUUUUUUUAUAUUGAAAGAAAAUGUUCUGCAGAGUGCAAAGACAAACCUGAAUGUGGAGGAGGUCUUUUUUUCAAUAGCCAGGGAUAUCAAACAGAGACUUGCAGAAUCUGAUGCCAGGGGCACUGAGGUAUUUUCAUCCUCCCCAAAGUGGGAAUCCUUUUUUUUACCCCAACUCUUCUCUCAAAAUGUUGGUGAACUCAUUUGGUUUCGAUGGUUUCAGCCUCAGACACUUAGGAUUAAUGAAGACAGAGCCGGUGGUCAAGCUGCGCAAAACUCAUCUUGCUGCGGUUAGUAAAAAGAGGGAAGGUUCUGUUGGUUGUAGUGAUGUGGAUUUGAGGUAAACCUUGAUAACUCCGUGGGGGGCGCCUCUCUUAGGUCUCUCAACUACCUGCAUUAGUAGUAAAAGUAGUUUUUUUUUUUUCCUCAUAAUUCUGGAAUUUACAAUGACAAGUGCCUUCGCCCAUGAGCGGUAGGUCUCGGGUUCGAGACUUGGGAGCAGCCUCUCCAUAAAUGGGGGUAAGGCUAGCCGACAUUCACCUCUCCCAGACCUUGCGUAAAGCGGGAGCCUUGUGCACUGGGUACGACCUUUUUAUAAUUCUGGAAUUUACAAUGACACUUCUACUCUUUCAUCGUCUUUCGGGUCUGUUUGUUGCCUGUCUUGAUGUAGAUAGAUAAUCAGGUUAUUUUCAAGGUAGAGCUUUAGGUGUUCACUUUGCCUAGUUUGACUGAUAUUAUUGAGUAUGUCU
Molecule: long non-coding RNA, 8048 nt
Filed under: Malus domestica (apple)
Lineage: Eukaryota; Viridiplantae; Streptophyta; Magnoliopsida; Rosales; Rosaceae
Description: long non-coding RNA (MDOM_LNC001024)
Source: RNAcentral